AGCAGCCGCGGUAAUUCCAGCUCCAAUAGCGUAUAUUAAAGUUGUUGCAGUUAAAAAGCUCGUAGUUGAAUUUCGGGAUCAAUAUAUCGGUCGUGCCAUUGGUACGUACUGGUAUCAUUGGUUUCUCCUUUCUGACGAACCAUGAUGUCAUUAAUUUGGUGUUAUGGGAAGUUAGGACUGUUACUUUGAAAAAAAUUAGAGUGUUUAAAGCAGGCUUUAGCUUGAAUACAUUAGCAUGGAAUAAUGAAAUAGGACGUUCGAACCUAUUUUGUUGGUUUCUAGGAUCAACGUAAUGAUUAAUAGGGAUAGUUGGGGGCAUUAGUAUUCAAUUGUCAGAGGUGAAAUUCUUGGAUUUAUUGAAGACUAACUACUGCGAAAGCAUUUGCCAAGGAUGUUUUCAUUAAUCAAGAACGAAAGUUAGGGGAUCGAAGACGAUCAGAUACCGUCGUAGUCUUAACCAUAAACUAUGCCGACUAGGGAUCGGAUGAUGUUAAUUUUUUUAAUGACUCAUUCGGCGCCU
Molecule: ribosomal RNA, 520 nt
Filed under: uncultured Glomus
Lineage: Eukaryota; Fungi; Glomeromycota; Glomeromycetes; Glomerales; Glomeraceae
Description: SSU rRNA
Rfam family: Eukaryotic small subunit ribosomal RNA
Source: RNAcentral